Long non-coding RNA from Equus caballus (horse), 2161 nucleotides. The record is from Ensembl. NCBI's taxonomy places the organism in Eukaryota, Metazoa, Chordata, Mammalia, Perissodactyla, Equidae.
AAGCAUUAUCUCCCAGUCUGCAUCCUCCAUCAACCCCUCAGCGUGCCCUCCCUUCGCCCUCACCGGUGCUCCUGACUCCCACGGCCAUCUCUCAAACCUCUUCUCACGCCAAAGCUGUCGAACGUCUCGAGCAAGUCAAGCCCCUCCGUCGUUAUUCCUGACCAUGCUUCCCCGCCAUCUGCCUUCCUUCUCUGCCUCUAGAGCCUCCGUUUGCCAAGUCCAGUAGAAUCCUACAGAUAUGCCCUCCCUCAGCUUUCCACAAUGUUAGACAUGAGUGUCUCACCCUUCCUUUACUGAAUGUCCCUUUUUGGCUCCUGAGAACAUUUUUCUCGGUUUUCAUGCUAAUGAAACUCUUCCUUUCCUUCCUCCACUACGUCGUCUCCCAAUCAGUUUGAAAGUUCCCUCAAACAUCCUGCAACAUUCCUUCCACCCCUCUCGCAGGGCAGUGCUUCUCCAACUCGAAUGGGCAUGUGACUUACCUUGGAAUCCUACUAAAAAGCAGAUUCUGAUGCCACAGGUCUGCAAUGGAGCCUGAGAGCCCGCAUUUCUAAUGAGCUCCACAGGAGGCUGACGCUGCUCAUCCAGUGACACGCUAAGGAAGUGAAAUUAUGUGAGAGGGAGAGAGUCCUGCCGAAUCCUCAGGCUGGAAGUUGUCUGAAACGGGAUGGUUUUCCCAGAAGAUGUGUUGAUCACUGAGCAACAAGGAGAUUCAGCUGCUCUCAAUUCCAAAUGAACCAAACUUACACCCCGGCACACGUGAUUGUCCACAUACAUCCGCUGCCUUUCCUCAUUGACUGUGCCCUUCAACCAACGUUUGAUUUCAGAUUCGUGUUCCCUGGCCCAUUCAGCUGAGCCAGUCAUUCCACCUUUAGGGGAUGUUGAUGAUCCCCCAGGAAGAUAACCAUCACGGUCCUGCCACAGCCCACAGCUUUGAGAGGCUGGUUUCUUUCCUCCUUUCCUCCUGUGUGUUAGAAAGAUUUCUCCCACAGUAGGAGAAUUCAUUCAGUAGCAUAUUUGGUCCUGGUGAUUACGAGAUGCCUCAGCUGCACUCUGUUAUUCAAUCACCAACAGGAAAAGGCCAUUUAUUGCUCCCGGUGGUUCAGCAGUGGAUGGACGUUGGAUUUCAAACCUUCCAUGAGUUCACUAAAACUCUGCUCCACAGCAAAUAAAGCGGCAUUAGAACACAAUAUUUGGGAGCAGUUUUUUGACGAAAGGCCUUAGCUACUGAGGAUACUAUUUCAGGCAACCAGAAAAUAAAGACUGAAUUAUAAAGCAAUUUGUGUCAAGAUGCAAGUACUAGCUACCGAAACCUCAAAUGAAUGUUAUAUUAUCACCAUUAUUGAGAUGAAUCAAAAUUAAUACACAGUGAAACAUUUGUCUAAAGAUGGAAAGAAUUUGUGGGUUUACUAUCACGACACCCAACAGUAGACAUUAGCAUUGGUCAAAUACUAAACGCAAAUAUUCAGAUAAGUAAGUCUGAAGAGGAUAGGAAACAGAUUUUCCUUUUGAGUUCAUCGAGCAAAACCUGACACCUCUUGGAGUUAUCUGAUUGAGAAUGAUUAAUUGAAGACGGAGAUGAAGUCAGACUUGAUCUUACAGUAAUGGACGGAACACUUCUCCAUUUUGUCCUCAUAUUCCAAGCAAUUCAUCCUUGGAGGGGUCCCAGGCUCGGGAGAGGCAGUGUUGAAAACACAUGGGUCAUCUUGACACUGCACAAUUACUACGCUGAAAAUCCUCCACGGUUGUCUGUUAUCUGUGGAAUAAAGUCUCAUGUAGACUGAUGGGCGUCAACCUUCAGAUCAGUUCACUCUGCUUCAGUGGCCCAGGGUUCACCGGUUCGGAUCCUGGGUGUGGACCUAGCGCCGCUCAUCAAGCCAUGCUGUGGUGGCAUCCCAGGUAUAAGAAUUAGAAGGACUUAUAACUAGGAUAUACAACUAUGCACUGGGGCUUUGGGGAGAAAAAAAAAAAAGAGGAAGAUUGGCAAUAGAUGCUAGCUCAGGGCCAAGCUUCCUCACCAAAAAAACAAAAAAAAAGAGUGUUUUCACGACUCUGAAUUGCUGCUCAUUCAUUAUCUAUCAUAUAUUCUCUUAUCUUCUCAAUUACGCCCUCAUGUGUCUCUAGUCUCCAAUUUGAUUUUGUGUUCCCUGAAAUCAAGGAUUGG